RNAcentral lists this ribosomal RNA (506 nucleotides) under uncultured bacterium. RNAcentral's name for it is "partial 16S ribosomal RNA". It matches the Rfam family "Bacterial small subunit ribosomal RNA", at positions 29 to 523 of the family's 1533-position model. The record is from RNAcentral.
AGUGAACGCUGGCGGUAGGCCUAACACAUGCAAGUCGAACGGCAGCACAGGAGAGCUUGCUCUCUGGGUGGCGAGUGGCGGACGGGUGAGGAAUACAUCGGAAUCUACUCUGUCGUGGGGGAUAACGUAGGGAAACUUAUGCUAAUACCGCAUACGACCUACGGGUGAAAGCAGGGGAUCUUCGGACCUUGCGCGAUUGAAUGAGCCGAUGUCGGAUUAGCUAGUUGGCGGGGUAAAGGCCCACCAAGGCGACGAUCCGUAGCUGGUCUGAGAGGAUGAGCAGCCACACUGGAACUGAGACACGGUACAGACUCCUACGGGAGGCAGCAGUGGGGAAUAUUGGAAAAUGGGCGCAAGCCGGAUCCAGCCAUACCGCGUGGGGGAAGAAGGCCUUCGGGUUGUAAAGCCCUUUUGUUGGGAAAGAAAUCCAGCUGGCUAAUACCCGGUUGGGAUGACGGUACCCAAAGAAUAAGCACCGGCUAACUUCGCGCCAGCAGCCGCCGUAA